AUGGAGGCGGAAAAGAGCCUUCAGGAGGCGACGGGUCUUGAUGCUGAGAAGGCAAAGGGAACUGUGAUCGUUCCUGGGAGCUCGGCUGGUUUGCUCGCCGAUCGGGACCUCUCCACCAACAUCCAGCGCCCAGGGAAGGAGAUAGCCAAGGUCUGUUCGGGACCUGUGAAGAAGACCCUUGUCAUCAACAUGUCGGGUGCUCGAAAUGCGGUGCAGACGCGUUUCCUGGCGGUCGGAUUGUUCCUUCCCGUUCUGCUGGUGAACUCCAGGCAACUGAUCGACCACAUGAAGAAGGUUUGGAAGGUACGUGGGGAACUAGAUGACCAUGAGCUGGUUGCAGGGGAAGGGCGGAAGUUCAUCCUAGAGUUCUCGGAGGAUGGAGACAGGCAACACGUUAUCAAGGGCGGGCCAUGGCAAUUCAAGGGCGACGCGUUCCUGGUCGUCGGCCUGGACAAGGAAGCUGAUCCUGCGUCCGCAGUCUUUUCCCAUAUGCCGAUGUGGGUUCAGUUCAGGGGAAUCCCCUUCUACCUCCUCACCAAGGAGCUUGCUCGCAGCCUGGGGGACCAGGUUGGGCCGGUGGUGAUGAUCGAUCCUCACUCGAGGGGCAACAUCUGCGACAAGUUCCUCAGAGUGAGAGUGCAGCUGCCUUUGUACUCUGCUCUGCAGAAGGAGAUUACGCUAGCUGAUGAGAUCACUGACGAAGAGGUUACUGUCCACCUAAGGUAUGAAAGAUUGCCAAAUUUCUGUUUGUUCUGCGGAUAUAUAGGGCAUAUGGAAGCAAGGUGUGAUGUACCAAUUGCUGAGAAGAAGUUGAAGUAUAGUAAGGAACUCGGUGUAUUCCCGGUCCACUUUGAUGACCCUCGUACUUGGUUCCUGCCAGAGAAGAUGGGGCAAAAACAGGGUUCCCAGUCAUCACCCCCCUUGUGGCGUGCUCCCAAGCCUGCGAGCCACGACAAGACUGUGCUGACUGUAGUGGAACAGAUGCGGGAAAGUGUUGCUCGCCUCUCAGUGGGUGACGCGAUGGGAACUGACAUAAACCUGAAGGUAACAGCGGCUACAUCAAGCGAAAUCCAGAACAAGGCAAACCUGAGAGCUGAGGAAAUUGACACAAACAAUGCGUCAGCUUCAAAUGUGAAUCCCCCCAUUGUCUCCACCAACCUGAAGACGAUCGACAACACCACCACUUUGUCCACCACCGAGAACAAUAUCACUGUUUCAAUGGACAUGGUGGUGGGCAAGAUGGCGGAACAUGACACUGCGAAGAAGGUGCCUGAUGGUUAUAAGGAGAUGGAUGGGGAUGAUUAUGCUAUGGCGGCGCUCGACCCCAAGGUCGUGGGGGAGUUUGGAACAGGGACUAGCGGCGACCCCAACAAGAAGCAGAAAUUCAAGGACCUCCAGCAAGUUGUCCCUGGAAAUACCAUGAUUCUCCCAGCUGAAACCAUGGUGUCUGCUAAUGACUCCAUCGCUCCUCUUGUGUUCAACCCGGGGGAAGGCCAUGGACCUAUGAUAACAAACAAGGGGGUGAUAGAAAUGGACGACAUUGUGCAUGACAAAGGAAAAGCAAAGGUGUCUGACUCAGUCCUAUUCCUGAAGAAUUAUUGGGAAACUCUGAAUUCAAACAGUCAAAGUAGAGGUGAUGUGAAAGGGAAAAAACCUCUGUACGAUGUACAAAUGCAAUCGCCCACUGCUCAGGAAUUGAAGCCGACCAUCCGCUGGUCCAGACCACAAGGUGAUUGCAUUAAGCUUAACAUUGAUGCUUCCUUUAUUUCAGCUUUGAAUGCAGCAUGGGCAGGGGCAGUCGCCAGGGACAGCACCAGAGCAGUUGUCUUCUCUGUAGGCCGUCAGCUUCAUUCUUGUGCUGAUGUAGAGGAAGCUGAAGCUAAUGCACUGCUGAUUGGUCUUAUGUGUUUAAGGGAUUUAAACAAGGAACAUGUGCAGGUGGAAUCGGACUGUGCCGCAGUUGUCGCGGCUGUAAAUGCAAAAGAAAGGAACAAUGCAAAGUGGUGGACUACUUAUGAGGAAGCAAAGCUGUGUAUGCCUGAAUUCAGUUUGUGCAAGCUAGCCUCCUUGCAACUAAUGGCUUCGCCAAGUGCUGCUGCUGUCUUGGCCGUGCUUGUGGUCGUGCUGUUGGGAAUGGGAUGCCAGGCCGGGGCGACCAUAGCAUGCAGCGACUGCGCGUUGCAGUGCAGCUUGUCAUGCAGCGCUGGCAACUUCCCUUGCAGCAGCGACUGCAGCCCAAUCCCGACGUGCGUGGAGCACUGCAAGGCCACAGAGGUCCCCAAGUGCGUGGACGGCUGCUCACGUAGCUGCAACAGGAGCUGCCCGAGCGGGGGGUGCAACUGCGCUACUGCCUGUGAUGGCUGCCACAGCGGCGUCGAGAUCCAGUGCAAGAGGAACUGUACCAAUUCGAAGUCGUGCAACGCCUGCAAGGACAACUACUCCCGUCAGUGCAACGUCUGCUGCACCUCCUACUGCAACAAAAACUGUGCCUGA
Molecule: ribosomal RNA, 2493 nt
Filed under: Triticum aestivum (bread wheat)
Lineage: Eukaryota; Viridiplantae; Streptophyta; Magnoliopsida; Poales; Poaceae
Description: partial small subunit ribosomal RNA
Source: RNAcentral